AAAGCUCUGUUUCCCACUCAACGCACGAACGAAGAAGGCAACACAAAGCAAUCCAGCCCCUUUCGUCUCCACAAUUGACACGGCUUUGCACCGGCACGUCUCUGCCAUUGGCAUGUCUAGGCACGACUCUCUCACAACCGAGACAUCUGGGCAAGGCUCUGUCACCACCGGCACAUCUGGACACCGGAUUUGGGUUUUGCAGUCAACAAAACAAGGCCUUUGACAAUCUCUUGUGCCGUUCCUCGACAUCUUCAGCAAGCCACCUGUUGUCCUCUGCCAUGCACUUCUCUCUCGAAUCUGUAGUCGCCUGCUUUCCUCCGGCAUCAAUGUGAACAUUGGGUUGUCAUCGUGGGACGGCAGCUCCUCCCCACUCCUCGGCAUCCUCAGCAAGCCACCGUAUCUAGUUUUAACAGUCUCGUCUUUUCUUCAAUCGGUCAACCCUAGCCCCAAAUCAUGAUGCAUUCUCCAUUCCCCCGUAGCCAAAGCCCCAAAUCAUUCUCAGCAAGCCAUCUCUCUGUAUAUAUAUAUAUAUAUAUCUUUGUGAUUUUGGAUUACUUUGUAUAUUUACUUUGUGAUUUUAAGUUCAUAACAGAGGCCUAAGCUAACAUUAUGUGCUUGUUGAUAUCUAAACUGUAAAUUUAUGUUGUUUGUUUCUGGGAUUAAGUUUCGUCUUGAGUUGGUGUUGAGCCGUGAGCUGCUUGUUUCUUCAUCUAGCGAGGGAAUUAAAUUUUGGGAAUAUGGUGGAUGCAGCUAGCUAGGGGUUGAAAACUUGCAAAAUUUUAGUCGCCAAAGAAGUUGAUCGUUGUACCCCAUGGGGUUUUCUUUCUCUUUACCCUUUCAAUAUUUAACACUUUUCAAGGAAUUUGAGAAGGCCUAGGAAUUGAAUUUGUAGAAGUAGCAAUUAAUAUAAUGCAAAUUCAUUGAAUUUUACUC
Molecule: long non-coding RNA, 933 nt
Organism: Carya illinoinensis
Lineage: Eukaryota; Viridiplantae; Streptophyta; Magnoliopsida; Fagales; Juglandaceae
Exons: 2
Source: RefSeq, a predicted model, not a curated record